AAGAGCCGACGAGGUGGCCCAGUGGGGCCGGGACGCGCGCUGAAUGCCGCGUCGGGGCGGUGAGCGUUUGUCGGGCAGAGUGUUCCAAUCUUCCGGUCCGUGCUCCUCGAGCCUGUGCAGCCCCCCAGGUUGCAGGGCCCGGUCCCCCGGUCCCCGUGGGCGCCCACGCAGGUGGCGCCUUCCCGGCCAGUGGCCAUGCGCUGCAAUUUGAGAAGGAGGCCCAGUGGAGAACGUUGAACCCGGGUAUAGACACCGUUGGGGUUCCCUCUGCUUGAUCCAAAUGAGAUGGGGUAAAGUCACAGUACCUUUCUCUGCUUCCACGUUUUACCUGCUUUCCGGGGAAGGUGAACCCAAGUAACGCUUGGGUUGCUUCUGACGUAGUAACUCAGCUUAUGGCUACGGCAUCCCCGGUCCUUUUCAUGAAAAUGUCAGCGUUGUUUGGACAGUGCCACUUACUGCUCAGAACGUAAAUCCCACGGCUCUACCAGCUCCCAAACUAAACAUUUAUCCUACAGUUAGGGCUGCAUCUACAAUCACUGAGAUGCAGUGAUGUACAAACCGAGUUGGGAUCGGUGAUGAAUUGAUUUGGGGGUAACGCUAAAAUGAUAUGGAAGACAAAGAUUACUAUAAGGAAGGAACCUUUCUGAGAGCGUGCUUUGGAUACCCGGGAAAGGAAUGAAUUGGAAGCACACCAGGCAUCUCCUGUUGUAAAUGGCUGCUCUGCUUUCUGCCCCGAGGCUCUUCUGACUUUGCCUACCGGAGGCCAGCAGUAGCUCUCUCAGCUCACGCCACGCACAGCUUUGAAGUGUUGGUUUAUAUUGAAGUCAUUGUGGCCUUAUAUUCACACAUGCUGGCUUUUGCUCUAUCAUUUCCAAAAACUCAAAGAGAAUGGUGUAAAACAUAGAAUGAAAGCAGGAGUCGCCGGAUAUCUCUGUCCAAUAUUUGGAGGAAGACUUCUGGGAAAUGGCUGGCAGCUCACAAUGUCUAUUGAAGCAAAUGAACUCUGUAAAAUGAGAGAUUUGCAAGAAUCCUUAAAAUUUCUGCAAUUAAAGAAUGACCAGGCAGUACUCUUUGAAAAUUGGAGACCAUUUGCACCUGCUCUCUGUUGAGGAAAGUGAAUAAUAGGGUGCCCUCAAGGAAUUUCGAAGGUAUCACUCAACAGAAACUUUUGUGUCUGAAGAAAACUAGAUCAUUUUAUCAUGGUAGGCAUAGUGAUAUGUUUGCUUUAAUAAAAUGCCAUAUUUCUGCCUUUAAUCUCUUGUCAACCAGCUAU
Molecule: long non-coding RNA, 1273 nt
Organism: Balaenoptera acutorostrata (minke whale)
Lineage: Eukaryota; Metazoa; Chordata; Mammalia; Artiodactyla; Balaenopteridae
Exons: 5
Source: RefSeq, a predicted model, not a curated record